GACGAACGCUGGCGGCGCGCCUAACACAUGCAAGUCGAACGAGCGAGAGAGAGCUUGCUUUCUUGAGCGAGUGGCGAACGGGUGAGUAACGCGUGAGGAACCUGCCUCAAAGAGGGGGACAACAGUUGGAAACGACUGCUAAUACCGCAUAAGCCCACGGUGCCGCAUGGCACAGAGGGAAAAGGAGCAAUCCGCUUUGAGAUGGCCUCGCGUCCGAUUAGCUAGUUGGUGAGGUAACGGCCCACCAAGGCGACGAUCGGUAGCCGGACUGAGAGGUUGAACGGACACAUUGGGACUGAGACACGGCCCAGACUCCUACGGGAGGCAGCAGUGGGGAAUAUUGCACAAUGGGGGAAACCCUGAUGCAGCGACGCCGCGUGGAGGAAGAAGGUCUUAGGAUUGUAAACUCCUGUUGUUGGGGAAGAUAAUGACGGUACCCAACAAGGAAGUGACGGCUAACUACGUG
Molecule: ribosomal RNA, 466 nt
Filed under: uncultured bacterium
Lineage: Bacteria
Description: partial 16S ribosomal RNA
Rfam family: Bacterial small subunit ribosomal RNA
Source: RNAcentral